This 29-nucleotide small RNA is filed under the name Bombyx mori (domestic silkworm). RNAcentral's name for it is "ovarian small RNA-22514". Lineage: Eukaryota; Metazoa; Arthropoda; Insecta; Lepidoptera; Bombycidae. The record is from RNAcentral.
UAGCUGAGGAUCCUCUGGUCAGAGAUUGU